GAGUUUGAUCAUGGCUCAGAUUGAACGCUGGCGGCAUGCCUUACACAUGCAAGUCGAACGGCAGCACGGGAGCUUGCUCCUGGUGGCGAGUGGCGAACGGGUGAGUAAUGCAUCGGAACGUAUCCUGGAGUGGGGGAUAACGUAGCGAAAGUUACGCUAAUACCGCAUAUUCUGUGAGCAGGAAAGCGGGGGACCUUCGGGCGUCGCGCUCUUGGAGCGGCCGAUGUCGGAUUAGCUAGUUGGUGAGGUAAAGGCUCACCAAGGCGACGAUCCGUAGCAGGUCUGAGAGGAUGAUCUGCCACACUGGAACUGAGACACGGUCCAGACUCCUACGGGAGGCAGCAGUGGGGAAUUUUGGACAAUGGGGGCAACCCUGAUCCAGCCAUGCCGCGUGAGUGAAGAAGGCCUUCGGUUGUAAG
Molecule: ribosomal RNA, 419 nt
Filed under: bacterium enrichment culture clone ALO1_GLFRUDD03F3CT1
Lineage: Bacteria
Description: bacterial SSU rRNA
Rfam family: Bacterial small subunit ribosomal RNA
Source: RNAcentral